CUUUGCAAAUUGACCUGCCAUUCUACCCACCUUGAUUACAGGCAUUUGACCACCAAACAUAAGCACAACGCCCAUCUGCAAGAUGACUCUGAAAGUGUCCCUAAUGUUAUUAGCACUAAAUUCCUUAAAGCUCUCAGCACAAUCACCACCCUGCAACAAGAAAGCAUUCCCAAGAGCAGCUUCGCCCAAUUUCUCUUCAAGAUUCCGAGCUUCCCCAGCAAAUACAAUUGGGGGAUACGUCGAAAGGGUCUCGAGAACUGAUUCCAGCUUUACCUUAUCAGGGUAUUCAGGGAGCUGAGAAGCCGGCUUCGAUUUCCAGCUUUCGAGACUCCAUUUUCCUUCUGGGUUUUGAGCAGUUUUUGCUGUUGUUGAGGGUGGAGAUUGAACGGCUGAGAUGGGUUUGAUUCUUGGUUUGAUUUUGGAGUUUGACGGGAUUGUUAUUUUGGGAAAGGAAGUGAAGGAGAUGGUGAUGUUGAAGGUGAAGUAGAAGGGCAAGGGGAAGCUGAGAUGGAGAGUGAAGGUGAAAUGCAAGAAGUUGAUCCUGGGCAUGGAGAGAGUGAGGGUGAAAGAGAUCAGAGUUCUCAGGAAAUAGAGGUUGGUGAUCAGAGGGCACAAAGUGAAGGAAGAGAGUCAGAGAGUGAUGAAAAAGAAGAAUAUGGUCAAAGAGUAGUGACUAGUAGGAGGCGGGAUGUAAUUGACAGUGAGUCAGAAAGAUCUGAGGAAAACCACUACGGUGACAAUGAAGACGAGGAAGUAAAUCAAGCAAGAAGUCCAAGUAGAUCUCCUGGGGAAGAGAAAGAUGAGGCCCACUUAUCCUCUGCUCCGGAGAUUCGUGAUGUGUUUGGGGAUUCAGAGGAUGAAGAAGAGGCUGAUUAUGUCGUUCGGAAUAAAAUUGAUGAGGAGCAAAAUUUAAUGGAUGAAGAAACUAGCUACGGCAAAUUGCAGCAAGAAGAUAUAAUACCUGAAGAUGAUGGUGGAUACGAGUCUGAAGAAGAGCAUGUGGAAUCUAAAAUUAAGGAAAAACCAGUUGGGCCCCCAUUAGAGCUGGAGAUCCCAUUGCGUCCACCACCAACUUAUUCAGAUAACAUGAGCAUGAUCAAGGUUUCUAACAUAAUGGGCAUUGAUCCCAAGCCCUUUGAUCCAGAGACAUACGUUGAAGAAGAUGCUUUCGUGACUGAUGAAUCUGGAUCCAAGAAGCGCCUCAGCUUAGUUAACAACAUUGUUCGAUGGAGGAAAGUUAGGAAGCCUGAUGGCACGACAACUGUAGAAAGCAAUGCUCGCUUUGUGGAAUGGUCUGAUGGCAGUGUGCAAUUAAUGAUCGGAAAUGAAGUUCUGGACAUAUCUACCCAAGAUGCGCAGCAAGAUCAUUCACACCUGUUUCUUAGACAUGGAAAGGGAAUACUACAAUCACAAGGGAGAAUUUUAAACAAGAUGAGGUUUAUGCCUUCAUCAUUGACAUCAAACUCGCACCGUUUAUUGACUGCCCUUGUUGAUUCACGUCAUAAGAAAGUUUACAAAGUGAAGAACUGUUUCACCGACAUUGACCCUGAGAGGGAGAAAGAGCAAAAGGAGAAGGCUGAAAGCCAAACAAUCAGGGCAGGUGUACUCCUCAAUCGGAAAAAGGAGAAGGUCAGCCGAAAAUACAUGCCUACGUUACGUAGGGAGCGCCAACUCUCUCCUGGUUUCUUGGAGGAUGGGCCUGAGGAGGAAGAGGAUACUGAUUACUAUGACUCUCGACGGUCUGCUGCUCGCCGUCGCUUUGAUGAAGACUUAGAAAUGGAAGCUCAAGCUGAGAAACGAAUCAUUAAUGCAAAGAAGAAAGAUAUUCCUAGGCAAACAUCAUUGUCUGCUCCAAAGCAUUCUCGACGCCCUGUUGAUUUUGAUGACAGCGAGAAGGAGGAGUCUGAGUAUGAAACCGAAGAGGAAGAAGAGGAGGAAGAGAGGUCUCCACCACGUAGAAGGGCUGUCCAGGAGGAGCCGGAAUAUGAAGAAGAGCAAGAGCGUGAUCAGGGUGAGGAGGAAGAAGCAUAUGAUGAAGAGUCGGAACAGGAGGAGGAGCCGAAGCAAAAUUUAAGGGAACCAGCAUCGAGUCACAAGCGGAAAGGGAUUGAGUCAGAUGAAGAAUCUCCUCCUAGGAAGAUUCCAGCUGCUCAUCGCAGAAUGGCAAUUGUUUAUGACAGCGAUGAGGAUUAAAAUCUAAUGGCGUGGAACUUAGACAAGUUUGCAUUUGCCUAGCAAAUUUGCACAGGAGAUUGUCAUAGGAUGGAAUGGGACGUUCGAAAGCCUGGGAUUUGAAAAGAGGCAUCAAGAGCCUGAAUGUUGUUCAGUUAUACAUCACCGACCAACCUUAGAUUUAUACUUUCAGAUAUCUUUCUCAUACUGAAUUUGGCAAUGAGCCUAGCAGAACUGGUGUUACCUUUUUCUUCCCUUUCGUAUGAAUUGUUGUUUAAGAUGGAUAGCCUGGGUUUUUU
RNAcentral lists this unclassified non-coding RNA (2471 nucleotides) under Hevea brasiliensis (rubber tree). The record is from RNAcentral. Lineage: Eukaryota; Viridiplantae; Streptophyta; Magnoliopsida; Malpighiales; Euphorbiaceae.